AUACAACCCAGUUAAAUUUGAAUUUCAGAUAAACAACACUUCUUUUUUAGUUUACGGAUGUCUCAUGCAAUAUUUGGGACAUACUUACACUAAAAAUUAUUCAUUAUUUUUUUGAAAUUCAAAUUUCACUGGGAU
This 135-nucleotide microRNA precursor is filed under the name Chlorocebus sabaeus (green monkey). RNAcentral describes it as "miRNA (ENSCSAG00000024166.1)". The record is from RNAcentral. Lineage: Eukaryota; Metazoa; Chordata; Mammalia; Primates; Cercopithecidae.